CAGCCGCCGCGGUAAUACGAAGGGGGCUAGCGUUGCUCGGAAUUACUGGGCGUAAAGGGAGCGUAGGCGGACAUUUAAGUCAGGGGUGAAAUCCCAGAGCUCAACUCUGGAACUGCCUUUGAUACUGGGUGUCUUGAGUGUGAUAGAGGUAUGUGGAACUCCGAGUGUAGAGGUGAAAUUCGUAGAUAUUCGGAAGAACACCAGUGGCGAAGGCGACAUACUAGAUCAUUACUGACGCUGAGGCUCGAAAGCGUGGGGAGCAAACAGGAUUAGAUACCCCAGUAGUCCCUGUCUCUUAUAC
This 301-nucleotide ribosomal RNA is filed under the name uncultured bacterium. RNAcentral describes it as "partial 16S ribosomal RNA". It matches the Rfam family "Bacterial small subunit ribosomal RNA", at positions 509 to 807 of the family's 1533-position model. The record is from RNAcentral.